RNAcentral lists this transfer RNA (71 nucleotides) under Terrestrivirus sp. RNAcentral describes it as "tRNA-Trp". Lineage: Varidnaviria; Bamfordvirae; Nucleocytoviricota; Megaviricetes; Imitervirales; Mimiviridae. The record is from RNAcentral.
UGGGGUCAGUGCGAAUUGAACGCACGCUAAGGGGUUUGGAGUCCCUCGUUCUACCUUUAAACUAUGAUCCC